AACGCAUCUUGCACUCCUUGGUAUUCCGAGGAGUAUGCCUGUUUGAGUGUCGUGAAUACUCUCAAGCUUGACCUUUUUUUCAUUAAGAAGGUCAUAGUUUGGAUUUGGAUGUUGCUGCGGUUGUACUAUCGCGGCUCGUCUCGAAAUGCAUUAGCUGGUCCACCGCGGUCUAUUAUAAAACUCUAUGGUGUGAUAAGAACACAAAUUCUUUGUAGCGCUAUAGUGAAUAGACCCAUGGGAUGUGAUUGCUUCUAAUAGUCCAUUGACUUGGACAAUAUCACUUUGUUAUCUGACCUCAAAUCAGGUAGGACUACCCGCUGAACUUAA
Molecule: unclassified non-coding RNA, 327 nt
Filed under: uncultured Sphaerobolus
Lineage: Eukaryota; Fungi; Basidiomycota; Agaricomycetes; Geastrales; Sphaerobolaceae
Description: sequence contains ITS2
Rfam family: 5.8S ribosomal RNA (bases 1-52)
Source: RNAcentral